Molecule: non-coding RNA, 30 nt
Filed under: Rattus norvegicus (Norway rat)
Lineage: Eukaryota; Metazoa; Chordata; Mammalia; Rodentia; Muridae
Source: RNAcentral
UAUAAGCUGUGCAAGACAUUAGGGAUUUGA